GCAACGUUGACUUUGUCGACAUCUGGUGGUCAAAUGACGGUACUGGUGGCUUUCCCUCUGAGGGACUCUCCUAUCCUGAAUCAAUACGGGGGGAUUCACUAGCUUAUGCUACCACAACUCCACGGGUGAAUCUCAAGGACGGCAAGUAAGCAAAGCUCUAAUUGACAACGUUGGCAGCGGCGAGGCCUGGGCCGAAAGGGCCUGGGUGUAAUCAGCUUAAAUACAGACACACUCCACUUAAGGCCAGGAUGGCGGCUCCGGCGAUCACAUGGUUUCAGAGCAGCGAUCAGAGCUGGAUUUGGCAGGACAUGGCUCUCAACCACAUCUCUGUCUGCUCCAUUACUGCCUUUCCACCUCCUCUCCCUCCAACCCCACCUCGCUGAGAGCUUCUGAACUGACCUGCAAAAACACUGCUAAACGUUUAAGGGAUCAAAGAUUCUCCUUUCCAUCAUUUAAGCUCAAUCAUUUAUAGUGUUGUGACUCAAUCACAAAGUUGUGUUGCUUUAACUGGAGAAUGCCUUGGUGUAAUUUGUUGAAAUAAAAAAGGAUGGGA
Long non-coding RNA from Gasterosteus aculeatus aculeatus (three-spined stickleback), 553 nucleotides. NCBI's taxonomy places the organism in Eukaryota, Metazoa, Chordata, Actinopteri, Perciformes, Gasterosteidae. The record is from Ensembl.